This 468-nucleotide ribosomal RNA is filed under the name uncultured bacterium. RNAcentral describes it as "partial 16S ribosomal RNA". It matches the Rfam family "Bacterial small subunit ribosomal RNA", at positions 28 to 507 of the family's 1533-position model. The record is from RNAcentral.
GACGAACGCUGGCGGCGUGCUUAACACAUGCAAGUCGAACGGAAAGGCCCUGCUUUUGUGGGGUGCUCGAGUGGCGAACGGGUGAGUAACACGUGAGUAACCUGCCCUUGACUUUGGGAUAACUUCCGGAAACUGGGGCUAAUACCGGAUAGGAGCUCCUGCUGCAUGGUGGGGGUUGGAAAGUUUCGGCGGUUGGGGAUGGACUCUCGGCUUAUCAGCCUGUUGGUGGGGUAGUGGCUUACCAAGGCCUUGACGGGUAGCUGGCCUGAGAGGGUGACCGGCCACAUUGGGACUGUGAUACGGCCCAGACUCCUACGGGAGGCAGCAGUGGGGAAUAGUGCACGAUGGGCGGAAGCCUGAUGCAGCAACGCCGCGUGCGGGAUGACGGCCGUCGAGUUGUAAACCGCUUUCGCCUGUGACGAAGCGUGAGUGACAGUAAGGGGUAAAGAAGCACCGGCUAACUACGUG